Chinchilla lanigera (long-tailed chinchilla) is the source of this 1139-nucleotide long non-coding RNA. RefSeq lists it as uncharacterized. NCBI's taxonomy places the organism in Eukaryota, Metazoa, Chordata, Mammalia, Rodentia, Chinchillidae. The record is from RefSeq and is a predicted model, not a curated record. The transcript has 3 exons.
CUCUCUCUCUCUCUCAGCUACUAAGCAAACUUCAGAGAUGGAAACACAGCUUUAGCAGAGAUAACCUGCCUGAUGACUCCUCUGUGAUAAGUCAGCCAAGCGCCUCCUGUCACAGCUGGCCAGUGAGUGGUGGCAGAUAGACUCGAGACCAGAGUUCACUGAACCCUGUCUGGGGCACAACGCUCCAGAGCACUGGGAGCUGCCUCCAAGAAAAGAAGACACUUUAACCCACCAGCAACCUCCCAGGGAAUGGUGCGGAUGAGAUGGACGUGCAUGCCUAGAAAUACAAAUACAAUGGAAGCAAUGGGCAGAGAUAAAUCUGGAACGACUGCCCACGGUCACACAGAGCCUUGGUAGCACACAGGCAAUCUGGUUUUCUUCUCAUUGGAUGAAAGUAUAAGAAAUACAAUUUACAGCCUAGCUAGCUUUUUAAUGGUUAGUAUGAGAAAGAAAGGAAAGUCCAGAUGUUUGAUUUUUAAACAUGUUUCUGUUCUUGCUUACUGUGAGUUGAAUGCUAAAUUGUGAGUUUAGUGUUAGCUUUAAAGGUGGACUGGGAAGUAUUUUCUCCUUAUGACCUGUACUUUCUCGUUCCAAUCCUGCAUUGGAAAGAUUUCAGGGUAGUUACCAUGGGACAUAGGUGAAGAAGGGAGCAGAAAUCACACAUGUGAAGUCAGUAUUAUUAUUCCACCUACUUAAAAUAGAGGACAAGAGGAAAGGCUGAACAGCAAAAGCCAUAUGUGGAUUCCAUUGUUAUCGAGGGACAUUGGUUUUCAUACCUUUGUUUUCAACAAGUAUUUAUUGAAAAUUGACAAUGUGCUCAUCUUGGGGGAUACAACAAAGAAUCCAAUAAAGCCUCUGUUCCUCUGUGCUUUGCAUUUUAGGGACUAGGAGAAGACAGAGGAUGGAAGGAAAAAUAGCAUGUGGGGAAAUAAGAUAAUUUCAAACACUAAUAAGUGUUAUGGUGAUGAUAAAACAGAGUGAGGCAAUGGCAUGGCUGGAGGUGGGGAGCUUAGCUCAGUUCUGUCCUGUCCAAUACAGUGACCACCAGCUACCUGUAGCUCUUGUGCGUUUAAAAUUUGACUAGUCCAGCUGGGCAUGGUGGUACAUGCCUGUAGUGUAAGCACUCUGGAAGGCUGAUG